CAGCACCUCAAGUUGUCAGGAUGAUUAUUGGGCCUAAAGCAUCCGUAGCCGGCUCUGUAAGUUUUCGGUUAAAUCUGUAUGCUCAACAUACAGGCUGCCGGGAAUACUGGAGAGCUAGGGAGUGGGAGAGGUAGACGGUACUCGGUAGGAAGGGGUAAAAUCCUUUGAUCUAUUGAUGACCACCUGUGGCGAAGGCGGUCUACCAGAACACGUCCGACGGUGAGGGAUGAAAGCUGGGGGAGCAAACCGGAUUAGAUACCCGAGUAGUCC
RNAcentral lists this ribosomal RNA (270 nucleotides) under uncultured archaeon. RNAcentral describes it as "partial 16S ribosomal RNA". It matches the Rfam family "Archaeal small subunit ribosomal RNA", at positions 477 to 747 of the family's 1478-position model. The record is from RNAcentral.